UAGAGGUUCUAGAGAAGGCGAAGACGUAGAUUGAUGUACUGAAGGAGCUUUUUCAAUUAACUCGGAGAAUAUUACAGCCUACAGGAGGUAUCAUGGUGACAGGAAGACUGAGGCACAACCAGUGGUCUCUCUGUUUGCUUUUAUGCUUUGGCUAGAAACAAGAGAUCUUCUAAUACAUACUGAAGUAGAGGAGAAGUUAGGAUGUGAGAGAUGGGGAUUACAACGUCAAUGAAACGGUCAAUGUUGUUACCGCAAAAACCACUGAAAUCGGACACAGGACAUGGGGAAUGGUGAGAGGCGUAAUGGCGUUAGCUACACAAAAGGUAGAAAAAUAUCUCUCUCUUUCAUUUACAUUUCACCAUGGCCACUGCUUUGCAUAACUGUUUAAAAUAAAUACACUGUAACUAUAUUAGUUGAACAAGGAUGUAGACUAAAUGACAUGUAUUUUGUGCCAUAGAAGUUGUACAUAUUGUUACAAAGACCGUACUAAAAGCGAAAUUUGAUUGUAACAAAGUCGUUUUCACGGUAAUAUUUGUUAAUCUCACUUGCAAAACUGUCAAGUAUUUGACAAGAUGAAUAAGAUAAAGCACAA
Helianthus annuus (common sunflower) is the source of this 592-nucleotide long non-coding RNA. RefSeq lists it as uncharacterized. NCBI's taxonomy places the organism in Eukaryota, Viridiplantae, Streptophyta, Magnoliopsida, Asterales, Asteraceae. The record is from RefSeq and is a predicted model, not a curated record. The transcript has 3 exons.